GCGCCGUUGGUGCAACGGUUCAGCACACGCUAUCGGAAAAAGUGGGACAUGGGUUCGAAUCCCGGCUGAUGCA
Non-coding RNA from Parelaphostrongylus tenuis, 73 nucleotides. The record is from the annotation of a GenBank genome assembly. NCBI's taxonomy places the organism in Eukaryota, Metazoa, Nematoda, Chromadorea, Rhabditida, Metastrongylidae.